Molecule: ribosomal RNA, 469 nt
Filed under: uncultured Allobrachymonas sp.
Lineage: Bacteria; Pseudomonadati; Pseudomonadota; Betaproteobacteria; Burkholderiales; Comamonadaceae
Description: bacterial SSU rRNA
Rfam family: Bacterial small subunit ribosomal RNA
Source: RNAcentral
AAAGGAAUUGACGGGGGCCCGCACAAGCAGCGGAGCAUGUGGCUUAAUUCGACGCAACGCGAAGAACCUUACCAAGGCUUGAAAUGCAAGUGAAGCGGUGGAAACGCCGUGGCCGAAAGGAGCUUGCACAGGUGGUGCAUGGCUGUCGUCAGCUCGUGUCGUGAGAUGUUGGGUUAAGUCCCGCAACGAGCGCAACCCUUGCCAUUAGUUGCUACGAAAGGGCACUCUAAUGGGACUGCCGGUGACAAGCCGGAGGAAGGUGGGGAUGACGUCAAGUCCUCAUGGCCCUUAUAGGUGGGGCUACACACGUCAUACAAUGGCCGGUACAGAGGGUAGCCAACCCGCGAGGGGGAGCUAAUCCCACAAAGCCGAUCGUAGUCCGGAUCGCAGUCUGCGACUCGACUGCGUGAAGUCGGAAUCGCUAGUAAUCGUGGAUCAGCAUGUCACGGUGAAUACGUUCCCGGGUCUU